GCCGGCGUGAUGGAAUUGGCAGACGUGAUGGACUCAAAAUCCAUUGGUGGCAACACCGUGCCGGUUCGAGUCCGGCCGCCGGUACCA
This 87-nucleotide transfer RNA is filed under the name Tissierellia bacterium. RNAcentral's name for it is "tRNA-Leu". It matches the Rfam family "tRNA". Rfam says of the family: Transfer RNA (tRNA) molecules are approximately 80 nucleotides in length. Lineage: Bacteria; Bacillati; Bacillota; Tissierellia. The record is from RNAcentral.